AUACACACACCUUCCCACCUAUUAGCUGUAGCUAUUAUAUACACACAUACAUGUGUGUUUGUGUAUUCACCUAUUCUCCCAGUAAGUACCCUGACAUUAUACUUUAUAUUCACUGGCUCCAUUUAGAAGACCUGGGUGAGCAAUACAGAAUAUGCCAUUGAAAGCUGUGGUAUGGAAAGAUUACAGGACACCUGGAGGUCACUAAGGGUAGGAUUUCCUUGGAGGUAGCAUGAGGUGGGAAGAGGAACAGGUGCAGGGUGCAGCUGGGAAUAGACCAGAGAUGAGCUCACUUAGACUGCGGUGAUGAAAUUGUCUGGUAGCCUCUUACUUUAGCUCAUUGUUUUUUUCUUUAAAACUUUUUUUUUAACAUUUGCUUUUAUAAUGUUGAGUUCCAGAUUCUUCCCCUUCUCCUCCCCCCAUUAAGAAAGCACAUGUAAAAUUAUUCACUCAUUGUUUUUGCUACCCAAAUGCUAAAUUCAAAUGUUUCAAAGUAGGUACUAUUGGAACCCUCUAAAUAUAGAUGCCUUGAGACAAAGACCUAGCUACCCCACCCUAGUUACGAAUCUUCCUAUAAAUUUUGAAAAGGUGACCUGGAUUCAGAGGUUUUCAGAGUUCUAUAAACAAUCAGUGAUAAAUUUAGGGGGACAGCUAAAUGGAGGCAAGAUGAGAAACUUGUGGAGGGGAUUGCAGAGAAAGAAUUCAGAUUCUAUUUCAGGAGAAUGGAAGCCUCCUGAGGGAAAGAAUGGUUAUGGUUUAAUUUAGAUAUCCAUCUUCAUUGCCUAGAACAGUGCCUGUGCCAUAGUGGGGCUUACUACAUGUUUCUUGAUUUUUUUUAAGAGAAGAAAAGAAGAUUUUAAUUGGAAAAGAAUAGCUGAGUGUUGAUUCAUAGGGGAGUCAGACUGGUAGAGUGAGCUAACAAUUAAAGAAUAAGCCAAGAUGAUUAGAUUAGAGAAGCAUCUGGGGCCAGGCAGGGCUCUCUUCAAGAUUCCAGGUCUAACUAUCUGUGUUCAACCAGUCUGGACAUCAUCCCAAAAUACACAGAUAAGGAAGCUCACUCUCCCCAUCUCUAUGGAUAUAUUGACCCCUUUUCUGACACAGGAGUAAGGGAGAAGUCACCCCUUGAAGUUUCUGGCUUCUUUCUAGGCUAUGUUUAAGCAUCACUGCUUAUUAAUAAGUAGAAGUUAGGUUUUGCAAAAUUAGGACAAAGAGAAGCUGUGGUUUGUAGAGGGCUGACCAUAGAGUUGGGAAUGCAGUUCCAUAACAUGUAUCCAAGAGAUCAUAGCUUUAGUUAUCGUUGAGUUGCUUCCAUUUGGGGUUUUCUCGGCAAAGAUACUGGAGGGGUUUGCCAUUUCUUCCCCCAAGUCAUUUGACAGAUGAGGAAACUGAGAUAAAUAGGGUAAAGUGACUUACCCAGGGUCACACAGCUAUUAAGUCAGAUUUGAACUCAGGAAAAAGUCUGGAACUCUAGCUGCCUUUUUGAACUAGAAAGGACCUUAGAAAUUACUUAAUCCAACCUUUCAUUUAAAAAUGUGAAAUUAUGUGCCAUGUGUUGUGUGAAGGUUCUACAAAUGAAAAGGCAAAAAUGAAGCAAUCCCUAUGCUCAAGGGGCUUCUGUCCCACUUGAGAAAACAACUUAUGCACAGAGAAAUAAACACAAAAUAAUGUGAGGGGGAGGGUAUCAGUAACUACCAGAAGAGGCCCUUGUAGGGAAAAGCUGAACUUUAAAGGAAGCUAGUGGCUCUGAGAGAUGGAGGGUGGCAGGAAGAAGACCUAGGAGCAAAGUUAUAUGAAAAGGGGCAAGUCAGAUAGUCAAUCAAUAAGCAUUUAUUAAAUCAUAUAAGCUCUAGGUGACCCUAGUUAACUAUCAAUUAUAAAGGACCUGUCUGUCUGAAUUGGUGGAGGGAGUUUCCAUGCUGGUUGUUUCCUAUUAUAGAAAAAGAAAAAUAAUGAAAUCAGAGGAAAGAUUCCAAAUUGGACUUUGCUCAUCUGAGUGAGUACAGGAGAAAGUAUUUAGCUUUUCAAAGAAGACAAAUGCAUCCAAAUGUUUGUUUAUUAAGUCCUAGACACUGAAAUAUCUAAUGUUUUCCACUUAACGACUUAGUCUGAAACUAUGAAUCUAUCCAAAACAAUAUGUUAGAGAAAGGCAGAAUGGCGUAGUAGUGGAUAAAGGGCAACCUUUGAAUCAGAAAUUCAGCGGGUAUCUCCCUCUCUCUCCCCUUUCCUUUUCUUUUUCUCCUCUUCUCUCUUUUAUUUUCUUCCCAUCUUUCUUAGUUUGUCUCUUCUCUCUCUCCUUUCCUCCAUUCUAUCUCUUUAUAUAGAUACAUAUGUAUAUAGACAUAAUAUAAUCAGAGAUCAUCUAAGAAAUUACAGAAAGUUAUGAUUUGAGUCCUGAGCAAAGAAGUCCCAGUCUCUUGACUACUGAAGUAAGUUAUAUUCUGAGGAGUCACCUCUAUAUGCAAUGAUGCAGAAAUGGACAUGGCCUUUCAGUGGUCCCUAAUGGGGCUAUUCUCCAAGUGAGAAAAUAUAGGUAAAGCAAUAAAGCACUUUGCAAACCUUAAAAUGGUCUAUAAAUGCCAGUUAUUAUUCUAAGCCUCAAUAUAAACGUGUAGACACACAUAACUACAAAAUCAGAUUGGGAGGUGAUGUUGCUGACUCCUAGCUUUCCUGUUGUCCCUUUAAUGUGGUAUGUGUUCCUUCCUCCCAAUGACCCUUCUCUUACUUCUCAAGGGCUCUUUAACAUAAUGUAUUUUAAAGAUUUAGAUUUCUUGAAAACUAACCGAGAUAAGAAAAGAUGGAAAUGCUCAAUGCUAGAAAGAGACACACUGAAACAUUAUUGGUAGAGUUGAAGUAAUCUAAUCAUUCUGGGCCCUAAUUAGAAAUUAUUCUAAGAAAGUGACCAAAGUGACCAUACUCUGUGAUCCAGAGAAAUACAGCAAGGGGGUUAAACACAGAAAGAAAAUAUUUAUGGAAAUGCUUUUUUUGUGGUUGUAGCCAAGAAUUGGAAACAAAUCAAUAUCCACCAGCUGGAGAUGACUAAAUACAUAAAGGAAUAUACCUGAAUAAAGAGCAAUAUUUCUCUUCCAUGAAGAUCACAGAGAAAUGGAGGUAAGACAUUUGCCAUCUUUUGUAAAGUGAAGAGAGUAGAACUAGGAAAACAAUAUACAAACUGACUACAACAAUGAUCCUGGGAACAAUAUAAAUAGUAAAACUAACUGGGACACUCCAGUUGUAAUGACCAGUUCCAAGCCUAGAAAAGACAUGAGAAAAAUGUCUGCCCCCUUCUUUGCAAAUUCCAUAGAAUUUCCAUAAACAUUAUUUCAUCAGACUGUGAGAGUGGAGCUUUGUAUAGCACUAUCAGACUCCACUAUUGUAUUGAUAUUUUGCUGGAUUGCUUUUCCCCCUUUUAUCUUAUACUUUGUUACCAGAGAAGGUAGCAUAUAUAUGUGUGUAUAUAUACAUUUAUAUAUAUGUGCAUGUAUAUAAUAUACAUUUUACACAGAUAUGUGCAUUUAUACAUAUCUAUGUACUGUGUACAUGUAGAACAUAAGUACCUAAAUGAAAGUGACAACAUUCUCCCAAUCAUCAAUUUUUGUUUAAAUCCGUCAAAAAUACAAAUGCCUUUUUGAGAAUUUGGAAUGGUUGGGAACAAUUAAGGUUUAUAUGCAUUUGUCUGCACUAUUCCAAAUUCAUUGAAUAUUUAUACAACUCAAUAGAAAUAGUUCUUAGGGAGGUUUGCCUUGGUAAUCCCAGAAUUUAGUUCAAUACCUGAUAUCUGAUAGGUGCUUAAUGAACAAAUAUAUGAUAUUUUGAAUUGAAUAGAACUCUCUGCCCUUCCUUGACUGCAAUAGUCUCAGCCUAAAAAAGAACUCUCCCUUUGCUUUUGUUGAUACUUGUUCUUAUUUCUUAUCACCCUUUGAUCUUCUAGGCAAUUCCAUCUUUACCACUUCUACUUAAAACUUCUCUAAACACCUUACCACACACAGUGCCACAGAAUCUCCCCAUGGGGAUUUUUAAAUAUAAGUGCAUGAAUACACACACACACACACACACACACCCUUAUUUCUCUAUCUGGGUCAAAAUUUAUUUCAAUUUGUUUUGUUCUUUUCUUUGUGACAACUUUGUUAUUGUUUACUAAAAUCCUGUACCUCCAUCUUAUUUCGACCCCCUCCACCACCAUCACUAUUUCCAUUCUCACAAAAAAUUGUCCCCUAUCCCUAAUUAUUAUUCAUGGUUUUAAGCUUAUCCACAUUGGCCCAUUAAACUGUAUAAAUGCAGAACCUAAUUCUGCUUUUUUUGGUAGAAUGGAUUAAAUUCAAUCUUUGCUCUGAAUGAUAGAAGACCUACUUAACAUUAAUUCCAUAUGUAAUUUCAGGGAAACCUGGGAACUGAUACAAAUUGAAAUGAGCAGAAUUAGGAGAAUAUUUUAUACAUGAACAACAGUUAUAAAAAUAAACAAUUGAAGAUUUAAGAACUUUUAUCAAUACAGACCUCAACCAUAAUUCCAAAUGACUUAUAAUGAAGCAUGAUGCUACUCAUCUUCUGACAAAGAAAUGGUGGACUCAUGGUACAGAAUGAAUGAAGGCUGAUUUCCAGAGUAAGAGAGUGUGAAGAUUUCUUUCUUUUAAAAAUAUAUAUAUAUAUAUUUACUAUAAAAAUUGUGGUUUUGUUUUUAAUGGAAGUAGGUAGGUGAAAGGUGAAUGGAAGAAUUAAUCAAAGUGAAUUAAAUUAAAAUCCAUGUCCCUGAUAUUUGGAUUUCUCUAAAUUCUGCUCUAUUUAGAAUAGCCUCUCUAUUAAGCUAAGGAAGGUUUACAGAAUACUGAAAUUCCAAGCGAGCAGUCAAGAAACAUUUAUUAAGCACCUCUAUAUUCCAAGUUCUGUGUUAAUACCAACUAAUUGUUGAGCAGAUACAAAAUCAGAAGAGACCAUAUAGUCUAACCCAUAUCUGAAUAAGAAUCCAGUUUCCAAAAUAUCCAAGAAGGGCUCCUUCAGCGUUGGCUUAAAGACUUCAAGUAAACAGAAGCCCAAAGGCUCCUGAGGCAACCUACUCCAUUACUUUUAGAAAGUUUUCCUUCCACUAAAGCUGCAAUUUCCACCCACUAUUCCUAGAUCUUCCCUAUUGGAGAUAAGCAGACCAAGUCCCAUCCAUCUUCAUUGUGAUAUCCCUGCAAGACAACUCUCAUGUUCUAGUCCUCCAAGUCUAUUCUUUUCCACGCUAAACAUGACCGGUUCCCUCAACUGAUCCUUAUAGGCUAUGAUCUCAAAGCUCUUUCAUGCUGGUCAUCGUCCCUUGGAUGCCAUCCAGUUUAAACAUGUCUUCUCUAAAAUGUGGGAAUAAAAGGUAAACACAACAUUCAAGAUGAGGUCUACCCAAGGCAAAGAAUCAUAGAACAAUCACCUUGCAAGACUUGAAUGUUUUUAAAUUGAAGGUUUCUGUUUUGCCAUCCAGCUUAUAAGAUUAGAACUUUUCCCUCACCCUCUUAACGAGUUUAUAUACAUGUACAUGUAUAUAAACAUAUAUACACAUAUGAAAAAUAUAUGUAUAUGUGUGCAUAUAUAUGAGACACACAAAUGUGCUACGAACUAUGUGAUCUAAAGAAUAUCUUUGAUCACCAUUGUUAUCGCCAUCUUCCAUGGCAUGGACAAAUGGCAUUGACAAAUGACAGCAAUGACUUGGGGCUCCGGGCGUUUGUUUUAGGGUAUUCUGUUGGGUGUGAAGUGGUGAAUGGGGGAAUGAAAUGGUGAUUAUUCUAACAAUAAUGCUUUGUACUUCUAUAGACCAUUUCAUUCAAGAAUCCCCAAGGGCUUUGGAAACAUUAAUUAAUCAAUUAGUUAAUGAGUGUAGGUCCUUCUUGGUGGCCAGAUGGUUGCAGAUUUUGUUUCCAGUUUGGUCCAAGGCUGCAGGUCUGCCUGACAGGCACAGCAUCCAGAUGGAAAGAGGGGAAAUCUGUCAAUCAUCCAGAUGUUGACAAACAUCUUAAUGUUCUGGCAUGGCAUGUCAUUAGCAUCAGACAUCAAUCUUUCCCAAGAGCAAACAGAUCCUGCUUGUUUCUUGAGUCCAGUUGAGAGUGGGGAGAUUAAAAAGGCAGAGAAGGGAGAUUUUUUUUCUAUUGAACAAGGCUCUCCUUGUGGUGUUUAUGGAAUGGUAAGUGAUGAACUAUGAAGUGACAACCACCUUCAGGUCUUAAUUAAAUCACUCCUUAACUCUCUAUUAGCCAUUAUGAAUUUUCUGAAGGUGAAAAGAUUUCUCUACAUAGUCCCAAGAGGAACAUAUAGGCAUCUAUAGUAAGGGAUCUAUCAAGGCUUGAUUCUGAUUAUAUAUAAUGGGGAAUCCUAACUUUGGGAAGGUGAAAAAUGGGUGUGGCACGUGACUAGAGAGGAGAGUCAGAGAAAUCAAAGAUUUUUGUGACACUCUUUUUCAUUCAUAAUUAAAAUUAUUAUUGUUUCCAAAAUCUUUUUGCAAAUAUCAGGGGAACAUCUGAAAACUAUUAGGGUCAUCUUGGCGGUAUGACCCAAUCAGUUUGGGAAAUUGUAUUGUGUAAUGGAAAGAAUUUCAAUGUUAGAAUCAGAGAACGUGGAUUCAAAUCCUAUCUUUGAUAUCUUACUACCUGUGUGAGAUAACAUUUUGCCUCAGUUUUUUCAUCUAUAGAAUGAGGUCUUGAAGGUCCCUUCCAGUUGUACUUCUAACAUCCUUUAUUCACAGUGAUUUUCCCAAGCAUUUGAAUCUGUAUCACUUAUUGCUCUUCUCUAGACCUUAAAGAACUUCAGAGUUAACAGGGUUGUCCUAUUUCUACCCUAAUAAAAAUCUUCCCCAUCAUAUACAUAAAAGAAUGUGCACUAGAACUUCCAACCCUGACAUCUCCCAAGUCAAUCUUUUUAAAUUGUGGAUGGCUCCAACUGUUAGGAAGAUUCUGAUGAUUGUGUUCAUUGGAUCAAGUUUAAUAAGGUUCCACCAGAUCUUUUUCAUUCCAAAUGAGUUUUCUCUUUCAUGAAAGUCCUAUCAAAGCAAAUCCAUUCUAUCCAUGCCAGAAAAGAGAAGUCUUAAAUGCACCCCCUAAUGCAAGAAAGCACCAUAAACCUGUUGAAUGACAAAUGUUGUCUUUGUUCUCAAAAAAAAAAAAAAAAAAAAAAAAAAAAAAAAAAAAAAGAGAAGUGCAUAGAGUCUGCUUGACCUUGAUUCUUGGCAAAAUCAGAGCAUGGAUAUUUCCUCAUCGGGAAAGUGAGAAUGUCAGACUGAAAGGUCAUGGAGGUCCUUUAGUCUCCAAAGUUAGUGAUUCUAUAAUAAGCACCAUGUCCCUCAUUAAUUUUUGUGUGAGCUGAUAGGGAUAAAGGAGAUUCUAUAUGGAGAUUCUGGGGAAACCCAUUCUGCCUCCAUCACAAGGAUCCAGUCCUGACUUUAGGAUGUGGGGGAAGGAAUCAUUGAAUCUGGGUUGGAAGGGACCACUUUCCAUGAGCUAUGCAGUCCAAUCUGUCCUUGUAUAAGCAAGGAGUCUGAGAAUUUAUCAGCUAAAAACCUUCAGUAGAUGGGAAGCUCCUUGAGGGCAAGGACUAUUUUUGUUUUAUUUUUGUAGCCUGAACUCUUAGCACAGUGCAAGAUCUUUUGAUAGAUACUUGUAGAAUGAACUGGCUUAUGAACACUCUUAAAUUUUUAAGAAGAUUUUCCUAACAUCAAGUUCAAAUGACUUUGCAGGGCUAGAAUAACUACAUCCUUUACAACAAUACCUUGGGAGCACUGGGAGGUAUGUUGGUUUUUAAUGUUAUGGAUCUUAUUGCCUUGCCUACUGGACAAAGAAGGAAAGACUGAUUUUGUUUUGAGUUCUGUUUGGUGCUUCGAACAAUGACUGGCAUAUAGAAAGCAUUUAAUAAAUGCUUAUUGACUGCUUAAUUAAACAACAACAAAUACCCUUCAGGAACCAUAGAACCUUCAGGUCCACGGAAUUAGAAUAUUUGAUCUGGUAGAAACUAAAGAGUUCAUUAAUCCAUCUCAUUUUCAACUUUUCCAAGGUCACAUAGGCACAUUUCUUUUAUGAGUCCAAAAUUUCAACAAGUCUUUGCAUACCCAGUACCUUGUAUAGUAUCCACUAUGUAAAAAGUAUUUAAUCAAUAUUGUUAUAUUUACUUAAAUUAAAUCUAAGCUAUAAUUUGCUCAAAUCACCUAAUAUGGAGAAUCAGCAGUUGAUUUUUUUUCCAAGUCAACUCAAUUUUAACCACUUUAAGAGCACCUGAGAAUAACAAAAAUAACCAUUGACAUUUCUCUAGGAUCAUAGAUCCUGGAGAUCAUAAAGGCUAGAUAAUAAGGCUAGAAUUAAACAGAACCUUAAACAUCUGCUUGGUCAAUCCACCUUAUUUUACAGAGGAGGAACUGGUGAGCAAGGGAAUUUGCUCAAAUUCCUGCAAAGGAAAAAUAUGAAGCCAGGACUCAAUAUGACAUGCUUCCAUAGCAUAUGGUUUAUCAAGCAUCAUUUCAUUAGAGCUUUACAACAAUUCUUUGAGGAAUAUACUAGAGGUAUCAUUAUUCUUAUUUCCCAGAUAGAUAAAGCAAGGCUCAGAGAUCCUUCUUGGGACUUAUGGAGGGGUACGGAUCAGGGGAAGCUUCUGAGCUCCAGUUUUCCUCAUUUCAACUGUAGUGUUCUAUUCACUCUAUCAUCCUGUCUCUCUGAAACUAAUCCAGAAAAGAGUCUCAAGCCACUCUUGCAAAAGUUCCAAUUCUUUUCCCCACCCCCACCCCCUGGAGUUUGGAAAUCCUGCAUUGGGCAACUCCCUACAAGAGGCAAAGGCAAAGGCUGUAUUUAAUAAUGGGCAACAGGUUUGCCAAAGGCAGGCCUGGGAACUACUGGAGCCUAGAAGAGCUGGCUCCAACAUCUUAAAGGAAUAAGUGAGAGCUUAAAACAGGGAAAACACAAUUCUUCCUUUCAGGGAUCUGCGUUUGGUUUCUAUUUCACGUUUACUGAUCCUCGCGAUGUGCAUGCGUUUUCAGAAUUUAAAAACAUUUGAGAAACGAUAAAUAAUAAAUAGGACUUUGGAGACUAAAGGACUACCAAACUAUAAGGGAAAGAAUCACCAUGAUCUUUUAAGGUUUUUGGCAAAACCAUAGCCCGGAUAUGAAUUAAAAGGAGCAAGAGAAAAUAGCCGGUAGAAUGAUUGAUCCUGCAUGAAACACAUUUUCAUCCAUUCAGCAGAGACAUGGGGGAUUACUGGUAUGACAUGGUAUAUACACAGCCAGAUGCAGUUGCAUUGUAGAUCUGUUUUGGUUAACUAUUUUUGCUUUGUGAUAAAAGAGAUUGGGGGAAGGAGGAGGGACAUGUAUUAGGAAAUACAGGAAGGACUCCAGUUCUUUUGGGUGCAGUUCUUUUGGCUCCCCAUGGAGAAAUUGUUUGAAGAGAUGUUCAAGAGUCUCAAAGGAUGGGCCAAUAUGAACAAGUUAAGAGAUGAAUCAUUGCAGGGAAUAUCGAAAAGGAGGAGAUUGCUGAUCCAUUGGAAUACUGAACAUGUAUUGGGAAACUAUUGUUUUAAUAACAACAAACAACAAAAUAGCUUGAGACAAAUUCUAUAAAGGAGAGAAAUGUCAAUCAAAUAAUAGCAAAUGGCAAUACUAAUAGAGUGCCUUAAGCUUUGUGAAGUACUCAUUCCAUCCUCAUAAUACCUCUGUGAGACUAAAUAUAAGCACCUUUUCCCCCAUUUUAUAGAUAAGCAAAAUGAGGCUGAGGGUCAUGUGUCUUGCCUUUUGAUUUUGAAUCUCAGUUUCACCUGACUCCAAAGUCAUCAUUCUUUCUCAUUAAUCAGUAUGCCUCCUGAAUGAAUACUUCUCUCUUUAUCAUUAGCCCAGAGUGGUUCCGAUCUGUGUGGAAUUGCUCAGUUAUGAACACAGACAAAAUUUAACACCGUCUUCUCUCAAAUCAUCCUGAGUCCCUUGAAAAUAUCCUGAGUACUAUAAUCCUGCAAGGAAUGAUUGUACCUGCUUAUCCAUAACCCUGCCAGCAAUGACAUCACCUCAGAUAGAUUGUAAUUCUGAUAUACAAUCCCCAGUUCAGGAACUGAUCUCCAUCUAAGAGACGCCUGUGUUGUCAAGUUAGGGACAAUUCAAUCCAAUUCAAUUUUUAAAAAUAGUGAUAGAUAUCGAUAUUCGGCUUCUUCUGCUUGGCAAGAUUAUGAUUCCAUUAAAAUUGAGGUGAUUUUGGUUUGGUGGAGUAAUAAAAAGAGUGUAGAAUUUGGAGUCAGAGAAUUUGAGUGUCUUUCCUGGCCCUACCACUUAUCUGAGGUAUAAUCUUAAGUAAUUCACAAUCUCUCCAUGCCUCAGUUUCCUUAUCUAUGAAAUAAAUGGAAAUGAGUAGUUCUAGGAAUUUGCCCCAAGAAAAUCAAAGACAGAGAAAGGGCUCAAAGACACCAAAAUGUUCCUAUCAGUGCUUUAAUUGGAAAGUAGACACCACCAGUUGGAGAAAUAACUAAACAAAUUUCAAUAUGUGAAUAUAAGAAAAUACUUGGGAGCAACAAACAUGGAGUUUCUAAACAGAGUUUCAUAGACAACUUUAGGUAAAGUGUUACAAAAGAAAGAAAGCAAAAGCAGGAUAUAUAUAUAUAUAUAUAUAUAUAUAUACACACAAUUAUAUAUUCCACAACUACAAAAAUACAAAAGAAGAGGAAGAGGAUGACAACGACAACUAUCAAAUGAAUGUUGUGUAACUAUGAUGAUUCUGUUUGAUCUAGAAGAAGAGAUGAGAAAAUUCCCCUUUUCCCCUUCUGUGCAGAGGAGAGGAACUAUGGAUAUAGAUCAUUACUUCUACUGUUGGCUAAGUUGGUGAUUUUUCUAAAAUGUUUUUUAAAAAACAAUUAAAUUAUUUUGAGUUCUUUGCUACAAGGAAUAGUUGGUUGGGGAGCCAGUGGGGAAGAGUGAUAUUCAGAAAUAAAAGUGAUGUAAAAGCAAUUAUAAAAAUUUAAUAAAUAAAAAGGUCUUAUUGGGCUAAAUGGAUAAAGUGUAAGAUCCUCCCAGUUCUAAAUCUAUGACCAAAGAUUAUCUUUCAGUAAAAUGCCUCCAUCAAAGUCUAUUGACUACUCCUUGAUAGUGCAGGGAAUAAUGGCAGCUGACUCACAUGCCUGGAAAUGAAUCAACGUGGUACAGAACAUGGGAUUUAGAAUAGAGACAUGGGGUCUAUCACCCAUGGGAUCUCUCCCAUUGUAAAAUGAGAGAGGGGCAGACUAGGUGGCUCCUAAAGUUCCUUCCUGCACCUAAUCUUUGGUCAUAUGACUAUUGAACAAACAUCUCAAUUCCUUGAACUUCUGAUAGUUCAUCUCUUAAAUAUGAGAGGCGAACUGUGUGGCUUCCAAGGUUCCUUCCAGCUCAUUGAUUCUAUGCUCUCAAGAAGCAGGAUUCCCAACAAGGACCAUCCACUGUUCCCUGCCCGGUGAGCAGCUAAGAGGAAGCUCAUCCAAAGCUCAUCCUCAUGUCCAGUGCAAGACUUCUAAAUACUCUGGUAGCCAAUUAAACCCCAGAGAAAGGAAAACACUCCUAGGAGAACUCAAAACCGGCAAGUGUCUGAAGGAGGCCAAAGAAAUUCCACUUUUAGCUCCAGGAAGCAGUUUAUAGGCUCCGUGUCUUGUGCCAUACAAUAUAAGAUAAACAUCUGUUGUUAUUUCAGUAAACUGAACUCAGAUGUGAAGGUUUCUCCUCAGAGAGAUGAUAUUGAGAAUGGAAGCUCCCCCCAUCUUUUAAUUGGGGGUAAAGAUAUCCUAUGCUCAAAAGGCCAGUAAAGGAUUUUAGGAGGGAACUGGGUAAACACUAUUAAACAGAAUGACAGCAGGGAAGGUGACUGGGUGACAAUCACAGGUCCCUGACCCUAGUCCCCAGGCAGAAAGCUCUCACUUAGGAAGUCAAACAAAUACAGCUCCUGCCUGAAGAUGCUUUGUACCUCUGGUGUGACUGGAGAACAAAAAACAGUCAUAGGAGACAAUAUUUGAAACUCACAUGGCUAAGAGGAAGGAGUUCUCUCAUCUGUCUAGAUGGGUACAACUCUGGCACAGAUCUACCUAAAGGGGAAUUCUUUCUUUUUUUUUAAUUUUAUUUAUUUAUUUGUUUUUGCUGAGCCAAAUUGGGGUUAAGUGACUUGUCCAUGGUCACACAGCUAGGAAGUGUUAAGUGUUUGAGGCUAGAUUUGAACUCAGGUCCUCCUGACUCACCCAGCUAGGGUGUUCUUUGUAAAGGGACCUGCUGAUAUAGUUGAUAGAAUUCUGAACUGAAAAUGGGUAAGACCUGAGUUCAAAUCCCACAUCUGUUACAUAAUGCAGCUGCAUCUGAUCCAGUUUUGGGAGGCUGGAUGGGUCAUUUAGACUUUCUAAUCCUCAGUUUCAUCUGUCAAAUAAGGGCUUAAACUAGGGACCCUGUAGGUUCUCUUCCACUUUAUGUAUAGGGUCUAUAAAUUAAGGUUGGACUCUGUAACAGCUGAGAUCCUUUCCCACUUUAAAUCGAGGAUCCAAUGAUGAUAAUAGAUGGUGAGCCUUUCAAGAAUUAAGACUGUCUCUGUUUUACAUUUAUAUUCUCAGGUCCUGCAAUAGCAUCUAGCACAAGGUAGGUGUUUAAUCAUUCUUCAUGAUGGGUUGAUCGAUAGAUCCGUGAGAAAUUCUGCUUGGAUCUCAGCAACCUGGGCUGAAGGAGAGAGAAUAUUCCAGGGGAGAAAAUGUUCACUGGAGUUUUUGAAGAAAGUCUAGAAAAUGCAUCCGUGUGUGUGUGUUUGUGUGUGUACACACUAAAAUGACCCAUCUUUAGAGAGAUUGACUAGCAAGCUCUCAGACUAGUAAGUGCAUUCAGUAACAGAAGGAAAGUCUUGAAAACGUGCUUUAUCACUACUAACAAGCCUCCAGACUAGUUCGUCACUGCCCCGCUUCUGCUUUCUUCUGUUUUCCCACUCUCAAAUGCAUUCUCCAUAUAAGUACCAAAAUAAUGCAGUUUCCCAAAGCCUAAACCUGACCAUGACUCCUCCCCCUCCAGAACCUUCAAGAUUCCCUGUUGCUUCUAAGAUAAAAUAUAUAAACACUUUAAAGUCCUUCAUAAACUGGCUUCACUCCCUCAAUGCUCCAACCAGAACAGAUAUUUCUGCCUCCUUGAACACACUGUACUCUCUCAUCUCCCUGACUUUGACCAUUUAUCAGGAAUAUCCUCCCUCCACUAAUCUCCAUCUGUCUUACCUACUGAUCCUUUAAAGCCCAAUUCCUUAGUUUUAAAGCUGGAAGGGACCUUAGCGUCUUUUUGGUCCAAUUCUCUCAUAUUAAGGGGAGGACACUAGGGCCCAAAUGCCACUUCUCUGGGGAAUUUUGGUUUAUCCCCUGGGAAAGUAAUGGCUUUGCCCUUUGGGUAUCACUUAGAAUUUGCUUCUGAAACUAGCCAGGGCACAUAUCAUGUAUUAUUAGCAUUAUCUAUUUAUCUAUCCAUCUAUCUAUCUGUCACUGUCUAUCUAUCCAUCUGUCCAUUAACUGUCUGUCUUUCUAUCUGUCUGUCUCUGUCACACCAUCUGUCCAUCUAUCUGUCUGUCUCUGUCUGUCUUGCUUGUCUGUCUAUUUAUCUAUCUACUAUCUAUCUGUCUGUCUGUCUAUCUAGUCAGGAGGACCCGAGUUCAAAUUUGAUCUCAAACACUUACUAGUUAUAUGACAAGUUUCCUCAUCUGUAAACCAAGCUGGAGACAGAAAUAACAAACCACUUCAGUAUUUCUGCCAAGAAAAUCCCAAACAGGACUGGAAAUGACUAAAUAAAUUCAUUCUACCAAUGCAUAGCAACACCUAUUUUCUAAUUUAUAGUCUUGGUGGCUAGAGGUAGGUGACUUGCCCAGAUCACUCUGCUGACAAUUACACAAUUGUAUACUUUAGUUUUAAUGUGCUAAAAAUAGGAAUUCCUUUGAAUCCUUCUUUGCCUUACUUGAGUCCACCCUCAUCUAGUCAGAAAACACUAGGGCUGGUUGGGGAAAGGGCACACAUGAGAUUUUAGACUCAUUUAACAAGGCAGAACUUUCUUUAACCUUACUGACUCAGAAGUUGACUCUAAGUUUAUGACAUCAUUCUCCUCCUAAGUCUGACAUAUAGUAGGUGACGAAUAAAGUCUUGUUAAAUGAAUCUAAAAUUACACAAAGCCAAAAGGUAAAAUUUCCUUAUCCAUAACCCAAUGCAACCAUGAAAAAAAGAAUUUUGCAGGAUGUCCAAAGUUAUGCUCUCUCUUGUUUUUUUUUCCCUCUGUGCAAAUAAGUCUUAUUCCAUACACAAAACCUCAUAUAAAGAAAAAGUAUAUCCUACUCCAUAUGGAGAACCAAGAAAGAGGUAGACUUCAUUGUGAGAACAUGGACUCCAGAUGAUCUAGACCUAGAUUGUAAUCCCUGCUCGAUUUGACAGUGUUUGGGAUUUGGGGCAAGUUCUAACCAAACUCUAAACAAACUGAGAAGGGUAGAGCUGAUGAUUCUUCGUAGCUCUCAUGUUUUAUGUUCCAGAGCCCUCCUAGUUUUGACAGUCCCUAUUCUAAAAUUCCUUCCAUGUGCUUAUUCAGACGUAUAAUAUCCGUAGGUUUUUGAAUUUGUUUUACUUUGAGCAAGACAAUUCCCCACUUGGACUCUCAGUUUUCUCAUCUGUAAAAUAAAAUAGGGAUUAGACUAGAUGAUCUCUGAUUCCCUUUUUGAGCCUUAAGAUCACUAAUUUAUUUAUUUUUCUUUCAAAAAUAUUUUUAUUCAGAAUUUAAACACUCCAAAAAAUCAUGGCCAUAUACAGAACACAAAAAGAUAGUUGUAUAUGAAAAUGUGGAGCUUCAUGUUCUAUCACUUGCAUUUAAAAAAGAGAAUAGAAUACAUUUCAUACAUUACUUUUAUUAUUGUCCUGAUGGACACCUAGUUUCUAACAAAACACAAUUUUAUAAAUAAUUUCUUUUCUUUCUUUCCCUCUUACCUUUCAGAUCUUUCUCAAAAUCCUAGUCCCCAAAAUUAGGAAAGGAUAAGAAGAGGAUCAUUGAAACAAUUUUAUGCACAUUUAUGCAUUUAAUGCAUUGGAUGUAGAUUUUUCAAAAGCAAACUACAUGUAAUUGAACUUUAGGUGGAUUGUUUUUAUUCGGUUCAUUUGAUUAUUUUUUGGGGGAAAUGAUCAUGUUGCUUAGUGUUUGUUAAGUUCAGGAUAACCUAAUUUUAAAAAAAUUAAAAAGAAUAACGUACCUCCUACUCUUUGUUGGAAACAUUCGGACUGUGAAUGUGGAAUAUUGUAAAUGGCAUCAGACACAGUCAUUGUGUUGGCUGGCUUGACUGACCCAUCUUUGUUAAAAACAUAUUUAAUGCUUGUUACAAGGAAAGGCUCAAUAGGCACAGGAGAGGGAGGGAUUAUUAGGAAAUGGAGGUGAUGCUCAAAAGUAGUUGGGAGGAGACAGUAUCUAUACAGUUGAAAAUAAACCAAAAAUAACUUUAAAUUCAACUACUAAAUUGUAGCACCAAUGGAGGGAGGAAGGGAGAGGGAACCGUCUCUAGUCACAUGACGCCACAAAAUGAUGCUACAAGAAUAUGUAAAUUCCAUAGUAACAUUAAAAGUUUAAACAUCAUAGCCCCUCUCUAUGCUUCUGUUAUCUGGCAUAAAGAGGUGACAGAAAUAACAUGACAGAAAGAGAUGAGGAAAGAAGAGAAAGAGCAGGAUAAAAGCCAGAGGGCACUGAAGUCCCCCAGAGGGCUGGAACAAAACCCAACUUUAGGAGAAAUACUAGCUGGAUCUUUGCACAAUCAGAAAUGGCCAAAUGUAUUUUGAUGCUCUCAACUUGGAGAAAGGCUAGCUUGCAUUUAUAUAGUCUUGGGCUGCUCCCCAGAAAACUGGUGUGUUCAUGACCUGGAAUUUGAUUUCCAAAAUCUUCUCAAGGGUGAUUUAAAAAAAAUGAGUCCUGUCAUGGCAGAAUGUCAGUGAUACAUAUAUACACCAAGCAAUUGUUGGGGUCCAAUUCUCUGUGACCCCAUUUGGGGUUUUCUUAGCAGAGACACUGGAGUGGUUUGUUAUGGUUCUCCAGCUCAUUUUACAAUUGAGGAAACUGAGGCAAAUAAUUUCCCCAGGAUCACACAAUUACUAAGUGUCUGAGACUAGAUUCUAAUUCAGGUCUUCCAGGAAUCACGCUUGACACUAUCACUAUACCAUAUAGCAGCCCCAUACAUAUGUGCACACCUUAAACACACACACACACACACACACACACGCAAUUCUUGAUUUAUUUUGAAAUUUUUUUCUUUAUUAGAAACCAUCUACUUUAUUAAAAAUAAACUCCCAGUGUUUAAAAAAAAAACAACUAAAAGUGUAAAUUCCCUUUUAUUAUUGAGCUUAGGGGACAGAACCCAGGAACUCAAGUAAGAAAGAUCAGAUUCAAAUUCUGCCUCAGACAUAUAUAAACUGUUUGAUUCAACGUAAAUCCCUUACCCUCUCUGAAACCUCUGUUUUUUCUUUUGUAAAAUGGUAGUAAAAUGGUAGGUAAAAAAAUAGUAGCAACUAUCUCAGAGGGUUCUGGAAAAGUCACAUAUAAAUAAAUAUGAAAUAUUAUUAUUAGAAAUUAAGUUGUUUGGAAAGGACUAAGACCCUUAUCCUUUGGCCUUGCUUUAAGGUAACUUUCACCCAAUUUGAGAAGUAUUCUACCUUUAAGGAUCAUAGGAUCAGCCUAGAAAGGGCCCCCGCCUGCUUAUUCUGUUCUUCACUUCUCAACCAAACACCAGGAGAGAUGACAGAAUCUUGGCCAAGACGGAGAAAUGCUGAUAUCAUUUCAAACAUGAGAUUUCUUGUUGUUCUAGAAGGAUUGGUUAUCUUGCUGAGGGUCUUUUUUUUCAAUCAUAGAAAAUAGAAAGUAAGAAACUUGAUUUUAGAUGUUCAGCUUCCAAUGCCUCCAAAGCCCUUGAAUUUCAAUCCUUAUAACCUCAGAGUGCUAGAGACACCCGAAACACGUGGGUUCAACUUUUACCUUUGACCCGCGGUAGCUUUGUAACUCUGAACGAUUCACUUCAUCUCUGUCACCCUCCAUUUUCCCUCUGUAAAAUAGGUGUGAUAUAGCACCGACCUCACAAAGUUGUUGUAAGAAUGAGAUGAGAUAAAGGGUAUAAAGUACAUUUAUGAACUUUGAAGUACUAUUUAAAUGUACUUUGGUUAUUUUUAUUAUUGUAAAUAAUAUAAAAAUGUAUCUGCUAUUUAGAAUCCUCUAAUUUUGUCUAUGGUUUGGAGAUACACUGAGGAUUAAGCAUACAUAGCAAUAAUACUGUGUAUUUCAAACACACGUACUUUUUGACUGUUUGUAUAAAUGAUGUCCCAAAAAUAUAUGUAUAUAUGUACAUAUAUAUACACAGAUAUACAUAAAUAUACAUAUACACAUACUUCCAUAUAUAUACUUAUAUAUGUGUAUAUAUUUAUACAGACAUUCAUGAUGGUAUAGAUACUAAUGCUAUGAAAUCGCUGGUAUAGAUUUCCCAAUGAAAAACUACCUCUACCCAUGAAAUUGGACAUUUCUUUGCAAUUUAUGGUCAGACACCUAUAUAUACCUAUACAGUAUAGUAACUUGCCUAAGGUCACAUCGCCAAUAAAUGUCAUUAUGUGUCAGAAUUCGAGUCUUGGAUAUCAUGAUUCCAAGAUUAAUUUUUUUUUCUUCUGUAACAGUCUGACUUUUAUGAAUAUACAGUCAUAUAUACAUAUUUUUGAAGGAUACUACUACUACUACUAUUAGUAUUACUACUACUACUAUUUCUUUUUCUUCUCAUACUAUUACUAAUUCUACUAUUUCUUCUCCUUCUUCCACUACUACUAUUACUUCUUCUUCUACAACAACAACAACUACUACUACUACUAGUACUACUAUUACUACUACUCUACUACUACUUCCACUUUCUUCCAUUUCUUCUUCUCCUCUUCCUCCUCCUCCUUCUCCUUCCUCCUCCUCUUCUUCCUCUUACUACUACUAGUAGACAACAAUGAAGAUUACCUCUACUACAAUUACAACUACUACUAGCUAAUCAUUUAUAUAGCACCUACUCUAUGCUCAGUAAUUUACAAUUAUUACCUCAUUUGAUCUUCACAAUAACCUUGCAAAAUGAGUAUUAUUAUUUUCAUUUUAAAAUUGAAGAAACUGAGGUAAAGAUCAAAUGACACAGUAGAAAAUGUCUGAGGCUAAUACUCUCUCCACUAUCCUAUAAUAAAUAUAUGUGUGUGCACCACAAUAUUAUCAGCAUAUUAUAUAUACAUAUGGAAUACUCCCAUAUAGAACCCCAUAUAUCUAAUCUACCAUAGAGUCUCAGAAUAAGACACCAUAGGCUUUGUAGGGCCAUAGACUUGGAACUAGAAGGAACCACAAUUAUCUAGUUCAAUCCCCCAUCUGAUAGAUCACAGGAAUAGUAGGAUGGUGGUUCUAGAGAUGAAAAGGACCCAAGAGACCAUCAACU
Sarcophilus harrisii (Tasmanian devil) is the source of this 18395-nucleotide long non-coding RNA. Lineage: Eukaryota; Metazoa; Chordata; Mammalia; Dasyuromorphia; Dasyuridae. The record is from Ensembl.